Arvicanthis niloticus (Nile rat) is the source of this 126-nucleotide small nucleolar RNA. RefSeq annotates it as small nucleolar RNA SNORA17. The record is from RefSeq and is a predicted model, not a curated record. NCBI's taxonomy places the organism in Eukaryota, Metazoa, Chordata, Mammalia, Rodentia, Muridae.
CCGGCCCCUAGAGGCGUUGCAGUUGUGACUGCUGCAUCAUUAGUGUCAGGAGGUGGCAGAGAAGAGAGAGGCCAUGUCUUCACUCAGUGUUCUGACCUAGGAACAUCUGAUUAGUAGCUUAACUUU